GACUAUGAGACCAAUCUGGCUGUGACACCUGUUAUCUUAUUAAUUGCCAGGGCUUAUUGGGCUGAUCCAGUUGGCUUGGUGGGAGUUCCCUUCCCUUUCACCACUCCACGUGUAUCUUUCCAGGUACUGAGUGCCAGGUUCAAGAGGUAGACCUUUCCUGAUAAAGGAGGACUAAUCUUCAGCCAAGGGCAUACAAGGAGCUGCACCUCCUUGCCUGCACCCUUUAACGAGCUCCCAACGGUUAUUUCUGAAUCUGCUGUGCCCCACUCCCAUGUCAUGGCAGCUGCUGCCUGUC
Non-coding RNA from Rattus norvegicus (Norway rat), 295 nucleotides. The record is from Rfam. Lineage: Eukaryota; Metazoa; Chordata; Mammalia; Rodentia; Muridae.